Molecule: long non-coding RNA, 585 nt
Filed under: Equus caballus (horse)
Lineage: Eukaryota; Metazoa; Chordata; Mammalia; Perissodactyla; Equidae
Description: lncRNA (ENSECAG00000044677.1)
Source: RNAcentral
GAUUCAUACAGCUGUUCUUUUAUUAGUAACAAUGGAAACAUUCUCCUUUAUGUUUUGCCAGAACAGACAAAGUCCUCUUGAGCAAACCAAAUCUAUCUCUGGGAUUUGCCAGGACUGUGUCAUCAGCCUGACUCUCCACAGGAAAGAGAGAAGGGAGUGAGGAAAGAACAUAACAUUGAGUGUUUCGUGUAUGCCAGACUUCGUGAUCUGAUCUGCACAUUCAGGACCCCCAUUUUAUGAAAGCAACAACAUACCUAGCUUUGAGAACGCUGCAUUUUUCAGACUCCUUUCAGCUACAGAUGUCCAUGUGACACAGCUUUACCAACGAGAUGGAAGUAGAAGUCACUGGGUGGCACUUCUGGAACAGCCCUUUAAAGGGAGGUGGCUGACUAUUGCUUUGUUGGUGUCUUCCACCAACAAGUUUGUCCACCAACAAGUUUGUCCAUCUCAACUUGCCCAUUCUCCUUCCCCUUCUUUCCUGAAAUGUGGAUAUGAUGCUGUAAGGGCUUUGGCAAUCUGGGGACCACAAAUGACAAGCAAAUGCUAAGGAUGCUUGAAUAGACAAAGGUGCCUGGGUCCCUGAUG